Molecule: transfer RNA, 74 nt
Rfam family: tRNA
About the family: Transfer RNA (tRNA) molecules are approximately 80 nucleotides in length.
Source: Rfam
GCCUAAGUGACUCAGCCCGGCAGAGUACCUCCUUGGUAAGGAGGAAGUCGCGAGUUCAAAUCUCGCCUUAGGCU